GCGAGGCUGAAAAGCGUAGUCGAUGGAAAACAGGUUAAUAUUCCUGUACUUCUGGUUAUUGCGAUGGAGGGACGGAGAAGGCUAGGCCAGCUUGGCGUUGGUUGUCCAAGUUUAAGGUGGUAGGCUGGAAUCUUAGGUAAAUCCGGGAUUCUAAGGCCGAGAGCUGAUGACGAGUGUUCUUUUAGAACACGAAGUGGUUGAUGCCAUGCUUCCAAGAAAAGCUUCUAAGCUUCAGGUAACCAGGAACCGUACCCCAAACCGACACAGGUGGUUGGGUA
RNAcentral lists this ribosomal RNA (278 nucleotides) under Pseudomonas sp. PDM04. RNAcentral describes it as "partial 23S ribosomal RNA". It matches the Rfam family "Bacterial large subunit ribosomal RNA", at positions 1396 to 1673 of the family's 2925-position model. The record is from RNAcentral. RNAcentral also lists the same sequence under 1 other name. Lineage: Bacteria; Pseudomonadati; Pseudomonadota; Gammaproteobacteria; Pseudomonadales; Pseudomonadaceae.